GGCCGCCGGGGGCUCUCAGCCCCGGGCCCGCGCCCGCCGGAGACACCACGAACUCUGUCUGAUCUAGUGAAGUCUGAGUUGAUUGUAUCGCAAUCAGUUAAAACUUUCAACAAUGGAUCUCUUGGUUCCGGCAUCGAUGAAGAACGCAGCGAAAUGCGAUAACUAGUGUGAAUUGCAGAAUUCCGUGAAUCAUCGAGUCUUUGAACGCACAUUGCGCCCCCUGGUAUUCCGGGGGGCAUGCCUGUCCGAGCGUCAUUGCUGCCCAUCAAGCACGGCUUGUGUGUUGGGUCGUCGUCCCCUCUCCGGGGGGGACGGGCCCCAAAGGCAGCGGCGGCACCGCGUCCGAUCCUCGAGCGUAUGGGGCUUUGUCACCCGCUCUGUAGGCCCGGCCGGCGCUUGCCGAACGCAAAUCAAUCUUUUUCCAGGUUGACCUCGGAUCAGGUAGGGAUACCCGCUGAACUUAAGCAUAUCAAUAAGCGGG
RNAcentral lists this ribosomal RNA (481 nucleotides) under Aspergillus flavus. RNAcentral's name for it is "eukaryotic LSU rRNA". The stretch from base 102 to 255 matches the Rfam family "5.8S ribosomal RNA". Lineage: Eukaryota; Fungi; Ascomycota; Eurotiomycetes; Eurotiales; Aspergillaceae. The record is from RNAcentral.